This 329-nucleotide ribosomal RNA is filed under the name uncultured eukaryote. RNAcentral describes it as "partial 18S ribosomal RNA". It matches the Rfam family "Eukaryotic small subunit ribosomal RNA", at positions 1470 to 1796 of the family's 1831-position model. The record is from RNAcentral.
CCCUUAGAUGUCCGGGGCUGCACGCGCGCUACACUGAUGCAUUCAACGAGUCUAAAACCUGCUCUGAUAGGGGUGGGUAAUCUUUUGAAUGUGCAUCGUGAUUGGGAUAGAUGAUUGCAAUUUUUCAUCUUCAACGAGGAAUGCCUAGUAAACGCAAGUCAUCAGCUUGCAUUGAUUACGUCCCUGCCCUUUGUACACACCGCCCGUCGCUCCUACCGAUUGAAUGAUCCGAUGAAUAUCAUGGAUUGAGGAUGUAAGCAGGUUCGCCUGUCUUCAUCUUCGAGAAGUGAAGUAAAUCUUAUCAUUUAGAGGAAGGAGAAGUCGUAACA